GAUGAACGCUGGCGGCGUGCCUAAUACAUGCAAGUCGAGCGAACAGACGAGGAGCUUGCUCCUCUGACGUUAGCGGCGGACGGGUGAGUAACACGUGGAUAACCUACCUAUAAGACUGGGAUAACUUCGGGAAACCGGAGCUAAUACCGGAGAAUAUAUUGAACCGCAUGGUUCAAUAGUGAAAGACGGUUUUGCUGGCACGUAUAGAUGGAUCUCCGCCGCAUUAGCUAGUUGGUAAGGUAACGGCUUACCAAGGCAACGAUGCGUAGCCGACCUGAGAGGGUGAUCGGCCACACUGGAACUGAGACACGGUCCAGACUCCUACGGGAGGCAGCAGUAGGGAAUCUUCCGCAAAGGGCGAAAGCCUGACGGAGCAACGCCGAGUGAGUGAUGAAGGUCUUCGGAUCGUGAAACUCUGUUAUUAGGGAAGAACAAAUGUGUAAGUAACUAUGCACGUCUUGACGGUACCUAGUCAGAAAGCCACGGCUAACUACGUG
Molecule: ribosomal RNA, 497 nt
Filed under: uncultured bacterium
Lineage: Bacteria
Description: partial 16S ribosomal RNA
Rfam family: Bacterial small subunit ribosomal RNA
Source: RNAcentral